CUUGGCGUUGGAUGAAGCUCUCAGUCACUGCCAGCUCCCUCCCCCUCCUCUCUCCUCUGAAGUGAAGAGUGUAGGCUUGAGCAAGGCACAGUUGAUGAAAUUGAUUGUGGCAAGAUCAUGUGAGAAGAGGAACACAUUCUUUACUACUGAAAGAUGCACAUAAAAGAUUGCCAGCUUUGAGCAGUACCCAUUGACACCACCCUUGACUUAACACAUUUGUCAAGAUGGCUCCAGCGGGAGCUGGUGAGACAUAGCCACUGAAGAGGGAC
Symphalangus syndactylus (siamang) is the source of this 269-nucleotide long non-coding RNA. RefSeq lists it as uncharacterized. The record is from RefSeq and is a predicted model, not a curated record. NCBI's taxonomy places the organism in Eukaryota, Metazoa, Chordata, Mammalia, Primates, Hylobatidae.